Molecule: ribosomal RNA, 253 nt
Filed under: uncultured bacterium
Lineage: Bacteria
Description: partial 16S ribosomal RNA
Rfam family: Bacterial small subunit ribosomal RNA
Source: RNAcentral
UACAGAGGUCUCAAGCGUUGUUCGGAUUCACUGGGCGUAAAGCGCACGUAGGCGGUUUGUUAAGUCAGGGGUGAAAUCCUGGAGCUCAACUCCAGAACUGCCUUUGAUACUGGCGAUCUCGAGUCCGGGAGAGGUGAGUGGAACUGCGAGUGUAGAGGUGAAAUUCGUAGAUAUUCGCAAGAACACCAGUGGCGAAGGCGGCUCACUGGCCCGGUACUGACGCUGAGGUGCGAAAGCGUGGGGAGCAAACAGG